CUUCUCUAUCUGGCUGGGAGGGCGUCUCCGCGACUGGUGGCAAGCCUUCCAGCAUGUGACGGACCAUCGCAUCAGCCUGCACAGCGUCGAAUAGAUUGGUGCCAGAGGGCGUGGCGUCUACAUUCGGAUGAUAGUUUGGGCGCGAAUAGCUGAUGCCAUUGUCCGGGUUGAAGGUCUUCGGAAGCUUCCAGUUGAGGAAGCGAUCCACCAUGUGUUUGAUUUGCUCGUUUGUCAUCGCGUUGUGUCCUUUCACGCUGCCGUCCUAUGGUG
This 270-nucleotide unclassified non-coding RNA is filed under the name Hevea brasiliensis (rubber tree). Lineage: Eukaryota; Viridiplantae; Streptophyta; Magnoliopsida; Malpighiales; Euphorbiaceae. The record is from RNAcentral.